AACGGCGUCAAAUGUCAUUUUGUUCUCUGAGAACUAGUCAACGGACUGUAAUUUCGACAAAAAUGACACUAUCGAGAUGAUUCAAAAAGCAUUUUGCAACUUGCAUUUUGAAAAGGUAGAAAAGUUACUUUCAUAAGCAAUUAGAAGAAUGGAUUUAAGAGGUAAAACAAAGCUCCUCUGUAAUUAUAUAACAAUGGACAACAGCUGUAUAGACAGUAGAUGGAGAGAAAUCUUAUUUGCAUAGCUGAGGAAACGUAUAGCCUUAGCAAUAUAUACCUCAAAAUUAAGUAACAUCUUUCAACAGCAUUAGUUUAAUUAAAUAAUAGUUAAACUUGUUUAAAAAUUAUUUUAACUUUUCAUUAUUAAUAGGAAAAUUGUAAAGAUUUGAAAAAUUAUGAUAAUAAUAGGUAUAAAAGUACAUUAGUAUAUAAAAUUUAGUUUAUCUCGUAUGUUUUUGUCUUUUCAAAAUUCUGUAUAUGAUUAAGUUUUAAAAGACAAUAAGAGAUUAGAUAAUUUUGAUGAAAAUCAAUAUUCUAUUAUAUGAUACAUAAUAGAAUAAUAAAUGAUAAAAAGAUAGAAUUUGAGAUUCAAAGAAAUUUUAUUUUUAUUACGUGUUUCGAUAUAAUCUAUAAUACAAUAUAAAAUAAUACUUAAAAUAUACAAUAUGUAACAUAUAAUAUAAAAUGUGCAUCUUGGAUAUUGUAUAACUUUUUAUUGUAAUUUAGGAAAAUUAAAAAUACAAGGGAUAAUUAUAGUAGACAUUAAUUCAUGAUGGAAUGCUAAUUUUAAUCUGUAUUACAUCACACUGUAUUGCUUUAGAAGAACUCUAUCAUAUACAGAAUUUUAAAGGCACCAAUUUAAGAUAAUUGCAAAAUGUUUUAUUAUUUUUAGACAUCUUAGAGAUAUCUUUUAGAAGCUUGUGCGGCAUUAAUGUAUGUAUAUCAUACUUGUGGAUGUGAAUGAAUGUGUAUAUACAUAUAGAUUUGUGUAUUUUGUAUAUUUAUAUUAUUAUAUAUGAGACAAAUUAAAAAAAACUUUUAUUUUUACAUAGUAUAUUUAAAGGUGUGUUGUGUAUUUUAAAAGAUAUUAAAUGCAAGUAACGAUAGACAAAAUAUAUUUAAAUAUGUGUAUAUUUCUGUAUA
Molecule: long non-coding RNA, 1142 nt
Organism: Odontomachus brunneus
Lineage: Eukaryota; Metazoa; Arthropoda; Insecta; Hymenoptera; Formicidae
Exons: 3
Source: RefSeq, a predicted model, not a curated record